RNAcentral lists this ribosomal RNA (544 nucleotides) under Pseudauchenipterus nodosus. Its description in RNAcentral is "partial 16S ribosomal RNA". It matches the Rfam family "Bacterial large subunit ribosomal RNA", at positions 1853 to 2597 of the family's 2925-position model. The record is from RNAcentral. Lineage: Eukaryota; Metazoa; Chordata; Actinopteri; Siluriformes; Auchenipteridae.
UCUUACCUGCCCAGUGACAAGUUAAACGGCCGCGGUAUUUUGACCGUGCAAAGGUAGCGCAAUCACUUGUCUUUUAAAUGAAGACCUGUAUGAAUGGUAGAACGAGGGCUUAACUGUCUCCCCUCUCAAGUCAAUGAAAUUGAUCUGCCCGUGCAGAAGCGGACAUACAAAUACAAGACGAGAAGACCCUUUGGAGCUUAAGACAUAAGGUCAACUAUGUCAAUAUAUCCAAAACCAAUACUAAACUAAAUAGCAUCUGACCCCCGUCUUCGGUUGGGGCGACCACGGAACAAAACAAAUCUUCCACGCGGACUGGGACCACCAAACCCUAAAACCAAGAAAGACAUUUCUAAGUAACAAAACAUUUGACCACCAUAGAUCCGACAACUCAGUCGAUCAACGGACCAAGUUACCCUAGGGAUAACAGCGCAAUCCCCUUUAAGAGUCCCUAUCGACAAGGGGGUUUACGACCUCGAUGUUGGAUCAGGACAUCCUAAUGGUGCAGCCGCUAUUAAGGGUUCGUUUGUUCAACGAUUAAAGUCCU